This 305-nucleotide ribosomal RNA is filed under the name uncultured bacterium. Its description in RNAcentral is "partial 16S ribosomal RNA". It matches the Rfam family "Bacterial small subunit ribosomal RNA", at positions 505 to 808 of the family's 1533-position model. The record is from RNAcentral.
ACAGCAGCAGCCGCGGGAAUACGUAGGUCCCGAGCGUUGUCCGGGUUUAUUGGGCGUAAGGCGAGCGCAGGCGGUUAGAUAAGUCUGAAGUUAAAGGCUGUGGCUUAACCAUAGUACGCUUUGGAAACUGUUUAACUUGAGUGCAAGAGGGGAGAGUGGAAUUCCAUGUGUAGCGGUGAAAUGCGUAGAUAUAUGGAGGAACACCGGUGGCGAAAGCGGCUCUCUGGCUUGUAACUGACGCUGAGGCUCGAAAGCGUGGGGAGCAAACAGGAUUAGAUACCCCGGUAGUCCCUGUCUCUUAUACA